AAUUAAUAUAAUUGUUAUUUUUAAGGGUUAUAUUUAAUAUUUGAAUUAAAUAAAUUUUAGUUAUUGUAUAAUUAAUUGAUUAAAUAAAUUUAACUAUAGUAAAUUAGUACUGUGAAGGAAAUUUAAAAUAUAAAGUAUAAUUAAGAUAAGGAAAUUUUAUUUGUUGUAUCUUGUGUAUCAGAGUAUAUUAAAAUGAAUUAUAAAUUUUUUAUUCUCGAAUUUAAAAGAUCUAAUUAAAUAUAUUAAUUAUUGUGUCAGAAAUAUUAAUAAUAUUUAAUUGGUAAUGAUAUGUUAAUCGUUUUUAAGGAUAUCUAGUUUUUUAAUAAAUGAAUUUAAUUCAGGGGAUAUAAUUUAUUUAAAAUUUAUAUUUUAAAAUAUGUUAUGUUCUAAAUUUUUAAAGGGAUUAUCUUUUAAAAAUAUAUUUAUAAUAUUAAUAGUAUAAAGAGGAUUUUAUAAAUUUAGAAUUUGUUAUUGAUUUAAGGAUGUUAAAAUUUAAUUCUUAUUUUAUAGGAUUUUUAAUUAUUGUUUAAAUUUUAUAUUAAAAUGUUUUAUUGAAUUUUAUAAUAAUAAAAAGUAUAAUUUAAUUAGUAAAGUUUUAUUUUAUUUCAUAUUAUUAAAUUGAAAUAUUAGUAUAAGGAAUUAGGCAAAUAUUUUGCUCGCCUGUUUAUUAAAAACAUGGUUUCUUGAAUUUAUUUAAGAAAUUUAACCUGCCCACUGAAGGAAAUUUAAAGGGCCGCAGUAUUUUGACUGUGCAAAGGUAGCAUAAUCAUUAGUCUUUUAAUUAAAGGCUGGAAUGAAUGGUUGGACGAGGUAAAUACUGUUUUAUAUAAAUUUAAUUGAAUUUAGAUUUUAAGUAAAAAUACUUAAAUUUUAUUAAGGGACGAGAAGACCCUAUAGAGUUUAAUACAUUUAAUAAUUAAUUAAGUUAAUUCGAAAUUUUAAAUUAUUAUGAUUUGUAUUUAAUUGGGGUGAUUGGAAAAUAAAAAUAACUUUUCUUUAUAUUUAAUAUUAUAAGUAAUUAAAUGAUCCAUAUUUAAUGAUUAAAAGAUUAAAUUACCUUAGGGAUAACAGCAUAAUUCUUUUUAAGAGUUCAUAUCGAAAAAAGAGAUUGUGACCUCGAUGUUGGAUUAAGAUUAGUUUUGGGUGUAGAUGUUCAAUAACUUGGUCUGUUCGACCUUUAAAAUCUUACAUGAUCUGAGUUUAAACCGGUGUAAGCCAGGUUGGUUUCUAUCUUUAAUUUAUUAAAAUAUCUUAGUACGAGAGGACCAGAUAUUAAAAAUAAUUUUUGUUUAUUGAAUUUUAUUAAUA
Molecule: ribosomal RNA, 1308 nt
Filed under: Galinthias amoena
Lineage: Eukaryota; Metazoa; Arthropoda; Insecta; Mantodea; Hymenopodidae
Description: 16S ribosomal RNA
Rfam family: Archaeal large subunit ribosomal RNA (bases 615-1308)
Source: RNAcentral